CCUACGGGAGGCAGCAGUGAGGAAUAUUGGUCAAUGGACGCAAGUCUGAACCAGCCAUGCCGCGUGCAGGAAGACGGCUCUAUGAGUUGUAAACUGCUUUUGUACGAGGGUAAACGCAGAUACGCGUAUCUGUCUGAAAGUAUCGUACGAAUAAGGAUCGGCUAACUCCGUGCCAGCAGCCGCGGUAAUACGGAGGAUUCAAGCGUUAUCCGGAUUUAUUGGGUUUAAAGGGUGCGUAGGCGGUCGGAUAAGUUAGAGGUGAAAUCCCGAGGCUCAACUUCGGAAUUGCAUCUGAUACUGUUAGGCUAGAGACUAGUUGAGGUAGGCGGAAUGUAUGGUGUAGCGGUGAAAUGCUUAGAGAUCAUACAGAACACCGAUUGCGAAGGCAGCUUACCAAGCUACUUCUGACGUUGAGGCACGAAAGCGUGGGGAGCAAACAGGAUUAGAUACCCGUGUAGUC
RNAcentral lists this ribosomal RNA (460 nucleotides) under uncultured bacterium. RNAcentral's name for it is "partial 16S ribosomal RNA". It matches the Rfam family "Bacterial small subunit ribosomal RNA", at positions 338 to 795 of the family's 1533-position model. The record is from RNAcentral.